CGCUUAACACUUUGUGAUUCAUGACUGGGGUGAAGUCGUAACAAGGUAACCGUAGGGGAACCUGCGGUUGGAUCACCUCCUUACCUUAAAGAAGC
This 95-nucleotide ribosomal RNA is filed under the name Escherichia coli. Its description in RNAcentral is "partial 16S ribosomal RNA". The stretch from base 1 to 83 matches the Rfam family "Bacterial small subunit ribosomal RNA", at positions 1451 to 1533 of the family's 1533-position model. Lineage: Bacteria; Pseudomonadati; Pseudomonadota; Gammaproteobacteria; Enterobacterales; Enterobacteriaceae. The record is from RNAcentral.